Molecule: small nuclear RNA, 104 nt
Organism: Apodemus sylvaticus (European woodmouse)
Lineage: Eukaryota; Metazoa; Chordata; Mammalia; Rodentia; Muridae
Source: RefSeq, a predicted model, not a curated record
GUCUUCAUUUUUGCCACACGUAUACUAAAAUUGGCACAAUACAGAGAAGAUUAGUAUGGCUCCUGCACAAAUACACACACAUUUGUUCAGCAUUAUGUAUGUUU